UCCCUGGUAGCUCAGUGGUAAAGAAUCUGCCUGCAGUGCAGGAGACCUGGGUUCAAUUCCUGGGUAGGGAA
Molecule: transfer RNA, 71 nt
Filed under: Capra hircus (goat)
Lineage: Eukaryota; Metazoa; Chordata; Mammalia; Artiodactyla; Bovidae
Also listed under: 1 other name
Rfam family: tRNA
About the family: Transfer RNA (tRNA) molecules are approximately 80 nucleotides in length. Their secondary structure includes four short double-helical elements and three loops (D, anti-codon, and T loops).
Source: Rfam by way of RNAcentral